GAGCUUUGGUAGUGAGCAACUGGGAGAUUACCAAGGAGUGUCUGACCAUCAACGAUAGAGCUUUCGCUAAUCGUCCAAAAAUUCUAGCCAUGGACCUUUUGGCCUAUAAUCGUGCCAUGUUUGGGUUUAGCUCAUACGGCAACUACUGGCGUCAAACGCGCAAAAUAGCCACACUUGAACUUCUCUCUAACCACCGACUCGAGAUGCUGAAACAUGUAAGAGAAUCGGAGGUGGGGACAGCUUUAAAAGAGUUGUAUAGAUUAUGGGAAAAGAAGAAAAAUAAUUC
Molecule: unclassified non-coding RNA, 286 nt
Filed under: Hevea brasiliensis (rubber tree)
Lineage: Eukaryota; Viridiplantae; Streptophyta; Magnoliopsida; Malpighiales; Euphorbiaceae
Source: RNAcentral